CUGCUGCCUCCCGUAGGAGUUUGGGCCGUGUCUCAGUCCCAAUGUGGCCGAUCAACCUCUCAGUUCGGCUACGCAUCAUUGCCUUGGUAAGCCUUUACCCCACCAACUAGCUAAUGCGCCGCGGGCCCAUCCAAAAGCGGUAGCAUAGCCACCUUUUACAUAGUUACCAUGCGGUAACUAUGGUUAUGCGGUAUUAGCACCUGUUUCCAAGUGUUAUCCCCCUCUUUUUGGGCAGGUUGCCCACGUGUUACUCACCCGUUCGCCA
Molecule: ribosomal RNA, 265 nt
Filed under: uncultured bacterium
Lineage: Bacteria
Description: partial 16S ribosomal RNA
Source: RNAcentral